GUGGGGAAUCUUGCGCAAUGGGCGAAAGCCUGACGCAGCCAUGCCGCGUGAAUGAUGAAGGUCUUAGGAUUGUAAAAUUCUUUCACCGGGGACGAUAAUGACGGUACCCGGAGAAGAAGCCCCGGCUAACUUCGUGCCAGCAGCCGCGGUAAUACGAAUGGGGCUAGCGUUGCUCGGAAUUACUGGGCGUAAAGGGCGCGUAGGCGGACAGUUUAGUCAGAGGUGAAAGCCCAGGGCUCAACCUUGGAAUUGCCUUUGAUACUGGCUGUCUUGAGUUUGGGAGAGGUGAGUGGAACUCCGAGUGUAGAGGUGAAAUUCGUAGAUAUUCGGAAGAACACCAGUGGCGAAGGCGACUCACUGGCCCAAUACUGACGCUGAGGCGCGAAAGCGUGGGGAGCAAACAGGAUUAGAAACCCGUGUAGUCC
This 425-nucleotide ribosomal RNA is filed under the name uncultured bacterium. RNAcentral describes it as "partial 16S ribosomal RNA". It matches the Rfam family "Bacterial small subunit ribosomal RNA", at positions 354 to 796 of the family's 1533-position model. The record is from RNAcentral.